This is a long non-coding RNA of Chelonia mydas (Green sea turtle), 11339 nucleotides long. RefSeq lists it as uncharacterized. NCBI's taxonomy places the organism in Eukaryota, Metazoa, Chordata, Testudines, Cheloniidae. The transcript has 6 exons. The record is from RefSeq and is a predicted model, not a curated record.
UGUCAAAUAGGAGGUCAUAAUACUUAUCACACACAGACUUUUGGGAGGUUUAAUCCCUUAUGUUCUGUAGAUGGCUUUUGUUUGGAAAGGACACCUAUAAAACAUUAUUGCUGUACUAAUGCGUCUGUUGCUAAUCAUGGGCAAUGAUGAAAUGUGUGUUUGGCUGUUUGAAAGCCAUCUAAACAGUGAUUGCGCUGGGAUGGCACAGGACUGGGAAUCGGGAACCCAGGGAAGGAAUUGUUCAGAGAUACACCGUUCCUUCUCUGCUCCCAUCUUGCUCCCGUGCUACUAGCCCUGACCAGUAGCUGAUCGCCACCCUGCACUGGGUCAGCUUUGCUGGCGGGUGCGCCAUGAGGUGAAGCCAAAGGUUUCACCCAGCCCUACCCCCUCUCUGCCCAGUUCCACCCACCUGUGUUGCAGGGGAUGUACUUUGAGUACAGUGUCCACUGCAGGCACAGAGGGACAAUAUGAGGAAGCUCCUAUGGGAUGUAGGGGGUGUCUUUCUUCUCCUUAUGGCUCUGCAUAGGUGGUCCAUGAUCUCUGCCAUUAAUGCUUGCAAAGUGCUUUGAGAUCCUUGGACAACAGGAGGGUUAUAUAGAUGCAGGGUGUUAAUAUAACAAUUGAUUUGUAUAUGCUUACCUCCUGUUUCUUUAUAGUUCCUCUAAAACUUUACUCAUACAUCCCUUUGGUACAUCCAGGAUAUUACUAGGAAAUAGUUCAAUCUAAUCUAAUCUCUCUUGUAAGCACUACGUGAUUCCACAUGUUUACACUUCCUUUUAAAGUGUAGCUAUCAAAACAUGACCACACGAGCAUACCUUCCUGAGGGUGUUUUUUACAAGUUAGGGCUGAUCAGUGUAUUUAUCAAGAAUAUGAUGAGGCCUGAGGGAGGGGGAGGAGAGUUUUGAGUGUGAUUUACUUUUCGCAUUUAAAAAAAAAAAGAUGCCAGUCUGCUGUGGUAUCAAAUGGUAUUUUUCUCUCCCCACUACAUUGUACGUUUGAAAAGGGGAAGAGGCUUUUUUUUUCUUUUUUCUUUUUUUUUAAAAAAAUAUUUAAGUGAUGGGCCAGAUUCUGGCAUAAAUCAGGAGAGUGUCACUGAAAUCAGUGGAGCUACACCCAUUAACACCGGCUGAGAAUCUGUCCUUCCAUGUCCUCUUGUGAAAAUGAUGGCCUUUUAUUUUAGUCUGGCCAACCAGAACGUUUUCGCUUUAUUGAGGCCUUUGUGCAGCAACAUUUUGUUUUCUGCAGUUGCUCCAACACAUCUUUUGUUGCAUAAAUGAGCUCAAAACGAUACACAGCAUUCAAGCAGGCUUCCCACCCUCACCACUUUCCAAGGUCAGAUAUCCUGCACCUGCUGGAAAAGGUUCAAACAAGCAGAAACUUCUGGACAGGAGAACCUUGUUUUGCACAGAUCCUAUUUAUGGUAUAUGGGGAGUAGUUGGUUAGUAAUUCAGCCUUGAAGUAUUUCAGCAUUUUGUGGGCUGUUAUCUAAGAGGUGAUAAGACUUCUAGUGAAUAAGGAAUUAAAAAUGUAAUGCCUCUAGAACAAAUUUGUCAUGAGUUUGCAACCAGCAGUGGUAAUGGUUUUUGGUUAGAGGAUGCCUUGAUGUUUCUGUGAUUGAAAGCCAAUUUUCCUUUCAAAGCACUGUAACGUAUUUAAUCAAGCUAAAUUAUUUCCCUCUCUCCCUCUCUGCUAGUCCACAGUUAGAUCAUGGUGCAAAAUUAAACACAGCCUUUCAUCCUACCUCCUCUUGCCUCUGUAUUUGACCUAGAGUUUGGAGAGCCAUUAAUUUGUCUGAGAUACUGGUUUAACAUGGUAGAAAAAUUAAAAAGGACAAAGAGAAGCCUGACUAAUUGGCAUUUCCAAGAGAUUUUUGUAAUCAGCCAAUGGGGAUUUUAUAAGGUAUGAAGUAUUUGCUUUUACAUACACUUCUCCUACAUUCUUUCUCUCAUGUUUGCUCAGCAAACCUGCUGGAAUAAAGAUCACAUCUGCCUCUCUGCAAGCUCUGUACUUGGGAGGUAAUUGAAUUGGAGUUUUUGUAUAAGAGCAUGUUCGCAUUUAAUUGGACAUAUGCGUCUGAACACACUAUCCCAGCUACUCCACUGAAUUUGAUUUGGGAAUGAAUCCCAUGAAAGGCGUCUUCUAGCUUUCAUGAAGAAUGGGUCUUUUCCAAAGGGAAAAGUAUUCAAGCACUAAAUUUAAUAAAGUUUAGUUUGAAAGUUAAUUCUUUGCAACAAAACUCUUUUGAAAACUACAUAAUUCUGAGAAUAGUUCCCCCUCUCCUCCCAAUGAUUUAAUAGCCAGUAUCUUGUACAGGCAUUGUGAUUUGUAACUAAUUAAUCUUUAUUUUGUAAACAUAGAAUAGUUACAUGACAGUUUAAUGGGGUUUUGGUAAAAUAAUUGCAUUGUUGUAAAAGUUACUUGUGCUGUCAUGUCCUGUCAUGCAGAGCAAUAAUGGAGGAUUUCAGGGAGAUAAGUUCCCACAGUGAGACGAAAAUAAACACUGUGGUGAUCUUUAUUUCAUUUCUGAGUUUAGGAUGCCCACUGAAAUACAGCAAUGCAAGCACGUGGUCAUCUCUCAAUCUAAUGCAUUACUAGCUUGGAGAAAACAGUGUAAAGUUAUUGAAGAGAUGAAGUGGUGAUCUGUCCAUUGGGCUGAGAUGACAAGAGCUAGUUUAGUUUAUGAAGAUGUUUAUACUUAAAGUAUGUUUGUAAGUGAACUUGAUAUACUUCAUUUUUUUUGUUUUGUUUUUUAAAUCAUUUCCCAUUAACUUGAACACUUUCUUAUUUUAUACCAAGUCUCAGUUAGUUAUUAUGGGGUGAAAUUCUGAUGUUUUUACUCAGCUUUUAUUUAGUCUUUACUCAGGAAAAGCUGCUACAAACUGAGUUUUGCUUGAGUAAGGACAUCAGGCUUUAGGCCACUGUUAAUUAUUUGAAUUAUGUACACUGUGAACCAAAAGAACAGAUUACCAGUUUCCAACCUAGCAUGACAAACCCCUCUGAGAUAAGAUGAUUGGGGAUACAGGAGCAGAAGGAAUUGUUGUUUAUUUGCCCAAAUCUAUUGGCAUGGACGGCACGUGAACUGCCAGCUGGGGGAGGCAAACCCACAGUGCUGCCCCUUCUGCCUCCUUCCACCAGAGCUCAGAGUCCCCCCUUCCCCCCCAUACAGAGCUGUGAGCCCCUGCCCCAAGCUUGUGCCUCAGAGUGCCAGGAGCACGGGUGGUGUGGCCCCAGCCCCUGAGCACUGAGAGGGUGGGCGCCGGGGCUGCCACACCAAGGAAGCUGCAGAGGGGGCCUGGUGGUGGAGCAUGGGCAGGGCCACAUCUGGCUGUUUGGGGAGGCUGAGCCUCCCCCAGCCUAUGAUACCCACUGCCCAUGUCUGUUGGCAGAAAUGCCACAUUUCAGAUGUACAGACACUAGCUUUAAUAACAUUUUAAAAUCUGGGUAUAGUGGUUAGAUUAUCCAAAAGUACAAAGGUUGGUUUAAACAUCAUAAAAUACAUAUAGUACAUAAUCUGUAAUAACUCAAAUUUAGGUGAAUAAAUUUAACAAUACAAUUUUAGAUGUUAGCAUCCAAAUAUUUGGGUACAUCACUCAUGAAAAGUUACACAGUUGUUGAAAGCAAAUAUUGCAAUGAGUGAAGAUUAAUCCCUCAAAUACUGAGGGGCAGAGUAAUUCGUCCCUUAGAAAAUACAAUCCAUCAGGGAAGUAUUUCAAUUACUUUCCUGACUUUGCUUCUUAUCAGCACUCUAGCUCAUCUCUCCUGGUAUUGCCAGUGUCUGGUGAUGUGUUCUAGAUGGAUGUCCCUUGACCACCUGAUGGCGUCCAACACCAUGAGCUGCCAGAUCAGCUGAGCAUAGUGUUGACCGAUUCCACAUUCUCUCAACAUUUGCUCGUUACUGGGGUCCCAUGUGCCCAGGGCUUUGAUGAGCAGCACAUGAGUUUGAACCGCGGGAAAAUCCCACUGUUUCCAACCAGCUCUGUCUCCCUGUGGCAGGAUGUACCUGGAGUUUGUGGCUCCCUAAAGAAGGCCCUGGGCCUUGCUUCAGAAAAGAAGCCAUGAAGGACCAAGUCACAGAAGACCACCAAGGUCCGCUGACAGCCUGCAGUGGGCUCCAGUGAUGGGGAAAAUGACUGUAGUAUCACACCCAGCUGCUUGGAGGUGCUCAAGAGGAUGAAGCAGAAGGCAAUAGUAAUAAGGGACGAAGAAAGACCUUUAACAAAUAGAAGCUCAUUUGAUAAUGAAUGAAGAAACUACAAAAAUAUUGGCCAGAGACUUUUCGUGUUUUAUCAUGGGGAAAACUAGGAUCCUGGUUGAUCACUGAGGAGACUCCAACAGAACUGUCUGCCAGAUGCCUUUCCAGCCAGCUCAUCCACCCAGCUUCUUGGCGACCCAACUGAAAGUCUGCCUUGGAAUUGGGAGCCCACAACUUCUAUGGAGCAUGGCUCCAUGUGUACUCAGGAGCCACUUGUCCUGAAAGUCCUAGGGUGCUAUGGCCCUGGAGCAGUCCACAUAGUGGCUACCCUAGAGCCAUGAAUCCUGGAAGCCCUGGCAGCUGCUGACUGAAACAGAUAUGCUGAGUGUUCCCUACUCUUCUGCCUGCCCACCACUAACCAUCUGCUGCGAAAGUGACAAAAAUGUCAAUUUCAGUCAGCAGCUGUUGAGGACUUCAGAAAAAAUGGUUUAUUUCAGAAACACCAUGUUUGGGUGUUUUACUAACAAAAUUGUAUGGACUUUCCAUUUUAUGGAAAAAUCCAGACUCUCUCUUUUUUUUUUUUUUUUUUUUUUUGUGAUGUGGAAGAAAACAAAUCUUGCAAUGUAGAAAUUUCUCAUGAAACAAAAUUCUGAGUUUCAACCAGCUCUAAUGGCAACAUCUAAGCUCCCAUGAAUCUCAGCAGAUUUGUUAAUAUGACUUUUGGGCUAUAUGGGAUCUUCAGUUACACCGUGUGAAAGAAGAGUCUAUUCUCUAACCACCCAGUAAAUACCUGGAACAAAAUCCCUCUUUAUUGUAUCUUCUCAACAGUAUAUUUUCACAUUUUAGUUCUCCUGGUGUCUUUGGUUAAAAUACAUUUUAUUAGUCUGGGCAGAAACUCAAAAUCAGUAUAGUUCACUGUAGAUCUAUUUUUUUAAAGUAAAAUACUCUGGAGCCCAGAAGUCUCCCUGUUUUAACUGGAAGAUACACUACAGCUUUCUGCAAUAUGUCACAGGGACCCUAAUCUAGAUUUAAAGAAUAGAGAUAAUGCUUUUUUUACACUGGACAUAUUCCAGUGCUCUCAUUAAAAUAUUACAUCCUCAAAAUGUCUAACACUGAAAGACACUGGCAACUAACAAAUUUUCCAAUAAAGCUGUAACUCAUCUUUAGUUAGAAAGAAAAUAAACAUUGCAAAUAUAAAUAUAGAUUCAUAGGAUUUAAAGCCAAAAUGACCCAUUACAAUCAUCUAGUCUGACCUGUGUGUAAUACAGGCCAAAGAACCUCACUGCAUCAAGCCCAAUAAUAACUUCUGUUUGAUAGCAAUCUUUUAAAUUGAGAUUGGAUAUUUUUUUUUUAAAAGUGACUGGGCAAGUGAAUCCAUCAUGUACACAGCUAAAUUAUUCUAAAGGUUAACUACUCUCCAUGUCAAAAGUUCAUGCCUUAUUUCUAGUCUGAAUUUGUCUAGUUUCAGUUUUCAGCUCUUGGAUCUUGUUGUACCAUUUUCUGCUGGAUUAAAAGAGCUGUCUACUAUCAGAAAUCUCUUCCCUAUUUAGGUACUUGUAGACUGAUGAAUUGACCUCUUAGCAUUCUCUUAGAUAAAUUUAAAUAGAUUGAGCUUCUUUAGUCUCUCACUAUAAGGCAUGCUUUCCAGAACUUGUAUCAGUCAAACAGCUCUCUUCUGAAUCCUUUCCAACAUUUUAAUAUCCUUUUUGAAGUGUGGACACCAGAACUGGGCACAGUAUUCUAGUAACAGGCUCACUAAGCUGUAAACAGAGACAAUACCAACUUCCUCCUACUCCUUGAUCUGCCCCCACUUAUACAUCCAAGAAUCAAGUUUGCCCUCUUAGCUACAGAAUAGCACUGGAAACUCCCAUUCAGUUGGUUAUCUAACAUGACCCUUAAGUCCUUUUCGGAGUCACUCCAUGCUGGGAUACAAUCCCCCAUCUUAUAAGUGUGAUCUUCAUUCUUUUUUCCUAGAUGUCUGAACUUGAAUUUGGCUCUUAAAAUGCACAUAGUUCAAAUGAACCCAACUUACCAAGCAAUCCAGUUUGGUUUGUAUAACUGACCUGUCUGCGUCACUAUUUACCACUCCACCAAUUUGUGUCAUAUGCAAACUUUACCAGCAAUGAUUUUAUAUUUUCCUCCACAUUGACAAAGAUCAUGAAUAGCAUUGGGCCAAGAACAGCUCCUAUGGGACCACACUAGAAACACCCCCAUUGGAUGAUCCCCUGAGAUCUCCAAAAUUGUAUCAAUUAGCCAGUUUUUAAUUCAUUUAAUAUGGGCAACAUUGAUUUUUGUAUAUUGCUAAUUUUUGUAUUAGAUUGUCAUAUGGGACUAAGUCAAUUGCCUUGUAUCCGAUAUCCGCCUCUUUAUGAUUUUGCCCAGGAUUGACAUCAGGUUAAUUGGCUUGUAGUUUCCCAGGUUUUCCUAUUUACCCUUCUAAAAUAUUGGUGUGACAUUAGCUUUUUUCCCCAGUCUUCUGGAACUUUUCACGUGUCCCAAGAUUUUUAAAAAAUCAACAUUAAUUCAGAGAGCUCCUCAGCCAGUUCAUCUAAAACUGUUUGGGUCCAAGUAACUAGUCCUCAAGAUUUAAACAUGUUUAAUAGCUACUGUUUCACAUCCUCCCUAAUUAAUGAUGGAAUAGAAAGUAUUUCAGUAUCAGUUUAAGAUAUGAAUACUUCAUUCUGCUUUCCGAAUACAGAACAGAAAUAUUUGCUGAAGACUUCUCCCUUUUCUGUAUCACAAUUGAUAAUUUUGCCAUCUUUGAUAAGUAUUGGACCUAUAUCAUACAACAUCUGAAAAGCAGAAUCUGCAGCAGAAGGAUUGACUGAGUUAAACCUGAUAAAGGCUGAUUGUGCAUUCCUUUCCCGUUAGUCAGCCAGCUGCUUUUUUUAAUAGAUCAGGAUUUUUUGGACUAGUUGCUCAUUCUUGUGCUAAGAUAUAUUCUUUCAUUUGUACCUUCAGGCAUGCUGUGGAAGUAAGGUUCCUAUUAGCUAAAUACAGCUCACUUCCCCCCUGCCCCGUGUUCCCUGUUGUGUGCCAGUCCACAGGCUAAAGAACAGAUCAAAAUAUGCUAGAGAUGAUUGUUUCACACACCACCAAGCAACUCUGAUUUUUCUAUCACCGUUUCCAUAAUAACCACUUGGCUCAGAUAUUGGGGGGGAAAACUGCUUUCAAUUAUCAGGUGCUGGUUUUGUAAGCUUUUCCUUGGUGUGGGGGCGGUGGCUAGAAGUACAACAAGAACUGUACCCAGUUAACUGAAAGUUAAAUGUUCUAGAUGUAUGCUGUGGGCCAGAUCCUCAGCUGGUGUAAAUCAGCCUAGCUCCACUGACUUCUACAAGUUUUCCAAUUUUCCUUAUUUUCUAUUAGGCUGUUACAAAAACCUCCAGGCUACAAAGCCAACUCCCAGAGCAACCUACUCUGUGCUUUCAGCAGCCAAGCAGAGCAGUGCAGUACUGAACUCUAGGGCAAUGGGACAGUCCUCCCAAGACUUACUGUACUGAUGAGGUAGGACCUGGGGGCCUAAUCCUGCACUGCACUGCACCAAUUUUGUGUCUGUAUAACUGCACUGCAGCCAAUGUAGUGAAGCUGGUGUAAUGGAGUGGCGAAUCAGGCCCUAUAAUAGGGAAAUAAAACUGCAGUCCCUUGUGUGUUACUGCACAAUACAAACCAAAAGGCUUCUGAAUCAAGCAAAAUCCACACUCCUAACACAAAGACCCAUAGACUAGGACUAGAAUCAUAAUAGGGGUGUCCUGCCUGAUUUAUAUGGGAAACAAGCAUUAAAACACCAAGCUUGACCUUAGAUCGUGUGCACCCAAGAGAGAGCUACUAGUGCAAAUCGAACUUGGGGCAUCCACCAAGAUGGCUUCCAUAGAAAUCACUGUGCUGGUCAGCUAUAGCCUGUCACUGGGGCAAAUUCAGAUCCCACUGAAGUCAAUGGAAAAUCUCCCACUGACAUCAACAAAACCUGGAUUUGGCCCUUACAGAAUAAGGUUGGCACUUGCCAACUGGUUUCUUUACCAUUUUUAUCUGUCUGCAUUCACUGUCAUGCAUAGUGAGUAGCUUUGCUUGAGGGACUGAACCUACACAGAGAUGGACUAUAUUUGAUACCUGAUUUCUUGCCAAACUGGAAACUAUUUUGGCAAACAUGAUACAUUAAACUUAUUUUUGAUAGUGCCACCUUUCUGGCAGAGUGCUAGAUUUACAUGUGUGAGCAAUGUUGGGUUUUUAUGACAUUUGAAACUUUUUGGGAAGUCAGGCGGAUGGGGGAUGUCCCCUCAUCUAACACAAUAUUUUUCUCAUGGUUUGUGUAUCUGCCCACUGGCAAUUACAUGCCCUUUUCUGUAACAUUUCCAUUUAAUGCAUGUAUAUUUAUGCUCAUACAUUUCUAUGUUCUGUGGAGUGUCAGCAGGUUGCAUAGAAGAUAAUGAAACGACACCAGGUCUAGCGAUUUUUGCACAGGUAGCCACUGAAUGGGUUUGAGUGUCCAGUUCCUCUUAAAAUUAAUGUGAAUUAGGUGUCCAAAUCUCUUAGGCAGAUUUGAAAAUCCUAGCCUUAACGGCUGCUUCAAUUCUUUUAACUAACUCAUCUGUCUUACUGAGAAUUCAGUAUUCUUCCAUUAGCAGGAGUUCUCUGAUUUUUGGAAGUAUUUGUCUUUACGAUUAUUGGAUCAUGAAUCAUUUUGUUGGCUAGAUGGCUGAAACUGUGCACAGAGACUGAUUCACACAAUGCAGUGCUAUGUCUGUUGUUGUGCAGGGCUGAUUGUACUUUAGGUACAGGAAGUAGUGGAUGCCCAGAAAGCACCUUUGUUCUGAUUAUGUUAAGAUGAUAUAAAAGAGAAAUAAAAUGACAUAACUGCUUCCAACACUCCAGACUCCAGCUCUGGAAGCCUAGGAUGUCUUCCAAAUAAAUCACUGGCCCUUGGAAAGUGGGAAUUCAGCCCCUGCUCUAAAAGCUCCUUUGUUCUGACUGCCUUGCCACUACUGAAUCUUCUCACUCAGUGUUCACCUUUCAAAGAAAACUAUGAGACUGCUUUUCUGGUAGCUGGUUCUUUAAGUGUAGGAGAUAUAAACAGUUGCCAUGCUAGGACAGCCAUAUUGUUUGUGGCUGUUGUUUUCUGUUUAUUCCUCCCUUCCAGCUGGUGAUUAUUGUUAGCUCCUACUUUGUGAUCCAUCUCUCUCCCUCCUGAAGAGGGACAUGUCUUCACACCUCUUAACUGGUUGUCUGGGGUGUUAUUCCCUCGGAAGAGAAGAAAGUCAUCAAAAGCUUGUAGAAUCAGGUAUAGCAUUUGGAAGGGCAGGCAAGCAGGCUGCAAAAUGACUCCCCUCCCUUUGUUUCUCAGUCAUUGCAGAGGAAAAUUUUUGCUUUCAUCCUGCUGCAAAAUUAUUAUUGUUAGUAGCUGUAAGUAAUUUAUUGAAUAUGGCUUCAACAAGUGUCCUACAGCAGUACUGACAAACCCAAGCACUCAGAUCAUGAGCCAUACCCCCCCCCCAAAUUAUGGGAUUAUGAAAAUAUAAUAAAUCUUGAAUUCUUUUUUCUUUGUCUUCUGGAUUUUGAGCCUUUAGGGUGCAUUCAGGUCAUAUUUUCAAGCUUUUUCUCUGCAAGCAUGAAGGCUAGAAGCUUACUGUUUUUUUAAAUCAAAGCUGAAAUCGUCACAAAAUCAUUUGACUCCAGAAGCUGGGGCUUGAAUCUAAACAGCAAAGAUUAUGAGGGGUGUCAUCACUGCUAGAGCUUUCCAAAAUGAAGCAAAACGUGGAAGAGCCAAGGUCUAUUUGGGGAGUCCCUCAGUGCUGGAAAAUGUCUCUGGCUACAUCCAGGCUAAGAAUCCAGUUGUGUUGACCGGAGAAAGAUCUCUCAGAUGAUCUGCCAGCUUGUUUUGCCUCUCCAGAAGGUCAGAGGCCUCGAGGUUGAUUGAGUGGGCUAUACAAAUUCCCAUAGGUCGACUGCUUCCUGACAAAGGAGGGAAGAGUAAGCUCCUUCCUGCCUGUUUAGGUAAAAUAUGGCUGCAGUGUUGUCCGUAAGAACAAGAUAACUUUUGCCCUUGAUGUGAGGCAGGAACAUCUGACAGGCAAGACAAACCACUCUGAGCUCUCUGACAUUGAUAUGAAGGGAGAGCUCUGCCUGAGACCAAAGGCCCUGAGUUGUGAGGGGCCCUGGGUGGGCUCCCCACCCUACUGCUAACAUGCCUGAGGCCAGAGUAAUUGAUGGUUGAGGGUACACGAAAGGAACGCCUGCACAAACAUUGAGAGGAUCCAACCACCAAUCCAGCAAGAUGAUGACUCGUGAUGGUACCAUGAGUACAGUGUCUAAAUGAAGAUGGCUUGGUGAGCACACUGAGGCCAACCACGUCUGGAGGUGUCUGAGGUGCAGUCUCCCGUGUUGUACCACAUAAGUGCACGAGGCCAUGUGGCGAAGGAGCCUCAUACAGUUCCAGGCUGUUGUGAUUGGGUGACCUUUGAGGUGUGUCACCGGGGAAUGGACUGAUUCGAAUUGCACCUCCGGGAGGAAUGCUUUGGGUGAAGUCCAACACUACUCCAGUAAACUCUAUUCUCUGUAUUGGACAAAGGGUAGACUUGUCUCCAUUGAUUAGAAGGCGUAGGGCCCUGAACAUUGACUGGAUGACUCAAAUGCUGGAUACCACCUGAGCCCUGGACCGGCCCUUGACUAGCUAGUCAUUCAGAUAAGGGUAGACCUGCACCCCUAAUCUCCUCAGGAAUGCUGCCAUUAUGGCCCUACAUUUUGUGAACAUCUGAAGAGCUGCAGACAGGCCAAACAGGAGCACUGUGAAUUGGUAGUGUAACUGGUUCACUACAAAUCUGAGGAAAUUUCUGUGCCCUUGAUACAUCGACACGUGAUAGUAGGUGUCUCAAGUCGAGGGUGGCGUACCAGUCUCCGGGAUCCAAGGAGGAAAUAAUGGAUGCCAGGGUGACCAUGUGGAAUUUUUAUUUUUUUGAGAUAGUCCGUGCAGGUCUAGAAUAGCAUGAGAGUUUCCUUUGCCUUCUGAAUUAGGAAAUAGCAGGAGUAGAAACCCCUCCCCCUUAACCACUGUGGCACCUCCUCUACAGUUCCUACCUGAAGGAAGGCUUGAACCUCCUGGUGUAGAAGUUUUUCAUGGGAGGGGUCCCUGAAGAGGGAUGGGGCGGGAGGGUGG